RNAcentral lists this microRNA precursor (69 nucleotides) under Meleagris gallopavo (turkey). Its description in RNAcentral is "mir-302 microRNA precursor family". It matches the Rfam family "mir-302 microRNA precursor family". Lineage: Eukaryota; Metazoa; Chordata; Aves; Galliformes; Phasianidae. The record is from Rfam by way of RNAcentral.
CCUCAACUUUAACAUGGAGGUACUUGCUGUACACCUGAAAAAGUAAGUGCUUCCAUGUUUUAGUUGUGG